CUGCCUGGUAGUGGGGGAUAACGUCCGGAAACGGACGCUAAUACCGCAUACGUCCUACGGGAGAAAGCAGGGGACCUUCGGGCCUUGCGCUAUCAUAUGAGCCUAGGUCGGAUUAGCUAGUUGGUGGGGUAAUGGCUCACCAAGGCGACGAUCCGUAACUGGUCUGAGAGGAUGAUCAGUCACACUGGAACUGAGACACGGUCCAGACUCCUACGGGAGGCAGCAGUGGGGAAUAUUGGACAAUGGGCGAAAGCCUGAUCCAGCCAUGCCGCGUGUGUGAAGAAGGUCUUCGGAUUGUAAAGCACUUUAAGUUGGGAGGAAGGGCAGUAAAUUAAUACUUUGCUGUUUUGACGUUACCGACAGAAUAAGCACCGGCUAACUCUGUGCCAGCAGCCGCGGUAAUACAGAGGGUGCAAGCGUUAAUCGGAAUUACUGGGCGUAAAGCGCGCGUAGGUGGUUCGUUAAGUUGGAUGUGAAAUCCCCGGGGCUCAACCUGGGAACUGCAUUUCAAAAACUGACGAGCUAGAGUAUGG
Molecule: ribosomal RNA, 533 nt
Filed under: uncultured bacterium
Lineage: Bacteria
Description: bacterial SSU rRNA
Rfam family: Bacterial small subunit ribosomal RNA
Source: RNAcentral